AUUGAACGCUGGCGGCAGGCCUAACACAUGCAAGUCGAACGGUAACAGGAAGAAGCUUGCUUCUUUGCUGACGAGUGGCGGACGGGUGAGUAAUGUCUGGGAAACUGCCUGAUGGAGGGGGAUAACUACUGGAAACGGUAGCUAAUACCGCAUAACGUCUCAAGACCAAAGAGGGGGACCUUCGGGCCUCUUGCCAUCGGAUGUGCCCAGAUGGGAUUAGCUAGUAGGUGGGGUAACGGCUCACCUAGGCGACGAUCCCUAGCUGGUCUGAGAGGAUGACCAGCCACACUGGAACUGAGACACGGUCCAGACUCCUACGGGAGGCAGCAGUGGGGAAUAUUGCACAAUGGGCGAAAGCCUGAUGCAGCCAUGCCGCGUGUAUGAAGAAGGCCUUCGGGUUGUAAAGUACUUUCAGCGGGGAGGAAGGGAGUAAAGUUAAUACCUUUGCUCAUUGACGUUACCCGCAGAAGAAGCACCGGCUAACUCCGUG
Molecule: ribosomal RNA, 490 nt
Filed under: uncultured bacterium
Lineage: Bacteria
Description: partial 16S ribosomal RNA
Rfam family: Bacterial small subunit ribosomal RNA
Source: RNAcentral